UUCUUUAAGAUUUAAUUUAAAGUAUAACCUGCUCAAUGUAAAAAUAAAUAGCCGCAGUACUACUGUGCCAAGGUAGCAUAAUAAUUUGCUUUCUAAUUAGAAGAUAGAAUGAAGGGUUAAACAAAUAAACACUGUUUCUUCCUAAAAAAUAAAAUUAAUAUUGUGAUAAAAAAAUCAUAAUAAACAAACAAGACGACAAGACCCUAAUAAACUUAUCAUUUAGUUGGGGUGACAAAAAAAUAAAUACUUAAUAUAAAAAAUUACAAACCUUUAAAAAAUCAACGAAUAGUUACUAUAGGGAUAACAGCGCAAUAUUAUUUUAGAGCCCAUAUCAAAAAUAAAGAUUACGACCUCGAUGUUGAAUUAAUUUAUCUACAUUUACGCAAAAGUAAUGAAAGAAAGUCUGUUCGACUUAUAAUAAAUU
RNAcentral lists this ribosomal RNA (424 nucleotides) under Paramicromerys sp. DNA100433815. RNAcentral describes it as "partial 16S ribosomal RNA". The record is from RNAcentral. Lineage: Eukaryota; Metazoa; Arthropoda; Arachnida; Araneae; Pholcidae.